AUAAUAUAGCGUAUCUUUUUGUUGAUUCUUUGUGAAGUAAGGUCCUUAAUACCAGAGAUUCAGACUGUGAUUAGUGAUUUUCACAAGUAUAAUUAACUAGAAGUUGAUGGAUAGAUGCAUGAUUGUUUAAUUCAGUGGAUAAUUAGAGGAUGAUGGACCGUGUAUAGCCAGUCAAUGUGGAUGUUUUAAAACAAUUAUUAUUAUUCUGAUUUGGACUAUUGAAGAAAUUUAAUAUUGAAGUUAUCAAGAUGAAGAGGACACAGAAUCAAUUUGCUGAAUGUUUUGCCAAGUUUUUGAUUCUAUGUAUUGUAAUGGUUAUUACAGAAGGUCAAACAUACAGUUUAUCAGGAUCAGCACCAUAUGGUAUUAGAGGAGGGGAUUAUAGUUUUACAUGUCAGUUAGUUGGUGAUAAUUUUAUAACCACUGAUAUUGUCGUGUUUAACAGGAACAAUCUCCCAGUCUGUAGACAAACAUUGAAUUGUAUUCCUAGUCCAUCAUCUGAACCUAACAGAUAUACAUGUGGUUGUAUCAAUGGUAACAUGGCAACACUGUAUUUUAAUAUAACAAGUGUUACAUCAAAUGAUGACUUUAACUGGACCUGUGGAGAUAGCUUUAAUACGACCCUCAGUCCACCUUUAACCCUUCCGGUUUAUUAUGGACCAGAGAAAAUCAAAUUUACACCACCCAGUUCUAGUAUAACAGUGAUAGAAAAUAAAAAUGAAAGUAAAACGGUAAACUGUUCAGCUGACUGUAAUCCACCAUGUAAAAUCAGCUGGUAUAAAGAUUCAACUAUGAUAUCAUCUACCGGUCGUCUCUCACUGAACAACAUCCAGAGACAACAAGCUGGUAAUUACACCUGUAAGGCUCAACACAACACUAUCGUCAACAAAAAGCAGACUAAAGUAUUACACAUAGCAGUUUAUUAUGGACCAGAGGAUAUCAGAUUUACACCAACAGGCUCUCGUAUAGAAGUGAUAGAAAAUGAAAGUAGAAAUGUAACUUGUUCAGCUGACUGUAGUCCACCGUGUAAUAUCAACUGG
Patella vulgata (common limpet) is the source of this 1040-nucleotide long non-coding RNA. RefSeq lists it as uncharacterized. The record is from RefSeq and is a predicted model, not a curated record. Lineage: Eukaryota; Metazoa; Mollusca; Gastropoda; Patellidae. The transcript is spliced from 5 exons.